CGACCUACGGGAGGCAGCAGUGGGGAAUAUUGGGCAAUGGGCGCAAGCCUGACCCAGCAACGCCGCGUGAAGGAAGAAGGCUUUCGGGUUGUAAACUUCUUUUCUCAGGGACGAAGCAAGUGACGGUACCUGAGGAAUAAGCCACGGCUAACUACGUGCCAGCAGCCGCGGUAAUACGUAGGUGGCAAGCGUUAUCCGGAUUUACUGGGUGUAAAGGGCGUGUAGGCGGGGACGCAAGUCAGAUGUGAAAACCACGGGCUCAACCUGUGGCCUGCAUUUGAAACUGGGUUUCUU
RNAcentral lists this ribosomal RNA (294 nucleotides) under uncultured bacterium. Its description in RNAcentral is "partial 16S ribosomal RNA". It matches the Rfam family "Bacterial small subunit ribosomal RNA", at positions 333 to 643 of the family's 1533-position model. The record is from RNAcentral.